Molecule: ribosomal RNA, 458 nt
Filed under: Streptococcus sp. oral taxon 066
Lineage: Bacteria; Bacillati; Bacillota; Bacilli; Lactobacillales; Streptococcaceae
Description: bacterial SSU rRNA
Rfam family: Bacterial small subunit ribosomal RNA
Source: RNAcentral
GAUGAACGCUGGCGGCGUGCCUAAUACAUGCAAGUAGAACGCUGAAGCUUGGUGCUUGCACCGAGCGGAUGAGUUGCGAACGGGUGAGUAACGCGUAGGUAACCUGCCUGGUAGCGGGGGAUAACUAUUGGAAACGAUAGCUAAUACCGCAUAACAGUCGACAUUGCAUGAUGUUGAUUUGAAAGGGGCAAUUGCUCCACUACCAGAUGGACCUGCGUUGUAUUAGCUAGUUGGUGAGGUAACGGCUCACCAAGGCGACGAUACAUAGCCGACCUGAGAGGGUGAUCGGCCACACUGGGACUGAGACACGGCCCAGACUCCUACGGGAGGCAGCAGUAGGGAAUCUUCGGCAAUGGACGGAAGUCUGACCGAGCAACGCCGCGUGAGUGAAGAAGGUUUUCGGAUCGUAAAGCUCUGUUGUAAGAGAAGAACGAGUGUGAGAGUGGAAAGUUCACACU